GCUUGUCUCAAAGAUUAAGCCAUGCAUGUCUAAGUAUAAACAAAUUUGUACUGUGAAACUGCGAAUGGCUCAUUAAAUCAGUUAAAGUUUAUUUGAUAGUACCUUACUACUUGGAUAACCGUAGUAAUUCUAGAGCUAAUACAUGCGAAAAGACCCGACUUUUUGGAAGGGUUGUAUUUAUUAGAUACAAAACCAAUGCGGGUUCUGCUCGCCAUUGUGUUGAAUCAUAGUAACUUAUCGAACGCCAUAGCCUUGUGCUGGGCGUAGAUCAUUCAAAUUUCUGCCCUAUCAGCUUUCGACGGUAGUGUAGUGGACUACCGUGGCGUUAACGGGUAACGGGGAAUUAGGGUUCGAUUCCGGAGAGGGAGCCUGAGAAACGGCUACCACAUCCAAGGAAGGCAGCAGG
This 406-nucleotide ribosomal RNA is filed under the name uncultured Rhogostoma. RNAcentral describes it as "partial small subunit ribosomal RNA". It matches the Rfam family "Eukaryotic small subunit ribosomal RNA", at positions 30 to 432 of the family's 1831-position model. The record is from RNAcentral. Lineage: Eukaryota; Cercozoa; Thecofilosea; Cryomonadida.